AUCGCAAAUUAGGUUUAGAAGUUU
RNAcentral lists this small nuclear RNA (24 nucleotides) under Arabidopsis thaliana (thale cress). RNAcentral's name for it is "snRNA_05028". The record is from RNAcentral. Lineage: Eukaryota; Viridiplantae; Streptophyta; Magnoliopsida; Brassicales; Brassicaceae.